GGUGGCUUCGUCUAGUGGUUAGGACAAUACGUUGUGGAUCAGAGCUUCUUAAGCUCAUUCCGGCGUGGACCGUGUAAACCUGGGUUCGAUUCCCAGAGCCGCCA
Hypoxylon crocopeplum is the source of this 104-nucleotide non-coding RNA. NCBI's taxonomy places the organism in Eukaryota, Fungi, Ascomycota, Sordariomycetes, Xylariales, Hypoxylaceae. The record is from the annotation of a GenBank genome assembly.